CCUACGGGUGACAGCAGUGAGGAAUAUUGGUCAAUGGACGAGAGUCUGAACCAGCCAAGUAGCGUGAAGGAUGACUGCCCUAUGGGUUGUAAACUUCUUUUAUAUGGGAAUAAAAUGUUCCACGUGUGGGUUUUUGUAUGUACCAUAUGAAUAAGGAUCGGCUAACUCCGUGCCAGCAGCCGCGGUAAUACGGAGGAUCCGAGCGUUAUCCGGAUUUAUUGGGUUUAAAGGGAGCGUAGGUGGAUUGUUAAGUCAGUUGUGAAAGUUUGCGGCUCAACCGUAAAAUUGCAGUUGAAACUGGCAGUCUUGAGUACAGGAGAGGUGGGCGGAAUUCGUGGUGUAGCGGUGAAAUGCUUAGAUAUCACGAAGAACUCCGAUUGCGAAGGCAGCUCACUGGACUGCAACUGACACUGAGGCUCGAAAGUGUGGGUAUCAAACAGGAUUAGAUACCCGAGUAGUC
Molecule: ribosomal RNA, 460 nt
Filed under: uncultured bacterium
Lineage: Bacteria
Description: partial 16S ribosomal RNA
Rfam family: Bacterial small subunit ribosomal RNA
Source: RNAcentral